AUCAAAAGAAAUAAAUAAAUGUUUAUACCACUAUGGUAAAUUAGUGUAGACAUUAAGGUUUAGAGUUAAGGGGUGGGGUUUAGGAUUUAGAGUUUAAGGUUUAGAGUUUAGGGUUUAGGGUUUAGAGUUUAGGUUUUAGGGUUUAGAGUUGGGAAUUGGGAUUUUGGGGAUAAGAUUUCAAAUUUUGAAAAAUAAAUAAAAUUUAAAUUUUUCAAAAAAUAAAAUGUUAUUUUGGUCAUUUUAGUUUUUGAGUGCUAUUUUUGUGAUAUAAACUUAAAAAUGUGCUAUUUUGGAGAUUUGCCCU
This 304-nucleotide long non-coding RNA is filed under the name Brassica napus (rape). RNAcentral's name for it is "long non-coding RNA (BNAP_LNC007437)". The record is from RNAcentral. Lineage: Eukaryota; Viridiplantae; Streptophyta; Magnoliopsida; Brassicales; Brassicaceae.